Gossypium arboreum is the source of this 821-nucleotide long non-coding RNA. RefSeq lists it as uncharacterized. The record is from RefSeq and is a predicted model, not a curated record. NCBI's taxonomy places the organism in Eukaryota, Viridiplantae, Streptophyta, Magnoliopsida, Malvales, Malvaceae. The transcript is spliced from 2 exons.
AACUUAAUGGAACUGCUAUUUUCCAUCCCUUAUCACUGCUCUCCCAUCCCUCUCCCUCUUCCCCACCAUUGUUAAAUCUUCCCUUCAUAUUCUUAUCUUUUACUUUCAGGGCCUUUAACAGAGUUACUUUGAAUAUGUUGAUAUUCAAAUUCAAUGCCAUUAAGAGCAACACCCUCUCUCAGCUUCAUAAGUCUGGACUUGCUUCUCCCAAAAAAUUGAAGGGUGACAAGUUCACCAAAGCAAUGUUGGCUUUUGCCUUGCCCUGCUUGCUGCUGAUGAUUCAACCAAUACAAGGGGCUGCCAAAACCCCAACAUUACAGUAUGGAACAUUUGAGAGGAGCAAUAAUGCUCCUUUGACACACUCCACCUAUUAAUGUCGAAAACGGUUGAAAGUGUUGAAAACUGCCAGUGGGUGAAAUGAAAAUCCAUGUUAAUGUUCAUCCAUUUUCACUUCAAUAUUUUCCCCUGAUGUUGAAAGUGUUGAUAUAGAGGAACUCCAGUUGAAGCUGUUGCCAAUGUUACAAUGGCAGAAGGAAUUUUGAACCACAAAGAGCCAGGUACCGAGGCCAUAGCUGCUGGGAUUGCCACUUGGUUCUCGAACAAGACUGAGUCCAAUAGCAAUACAUAUGGUGGGGAAGAGGGAGAGGGAUGGGAAAGUAGUGAUAGGAGGAUGGAAAACGUAGCUCCGUUAAGUUUGUAAUAAAAAACAGUAGCUCCAUUACAUUUGUAACGGAAAAGGGCUAGACCGUUUUAUUAUUUUUCGAAAGUUGAGUGACUGCUGGUAUAAUUUAACCCUUAACUAAAUUUUAAAAAUUGAGCAU